RNAcentral lists this ribosomal RNA (775 nucleotides) under uncultured Neocallimastigales. RNAcentral describes it as "partial large subunit ribosomal RNA". It matches the Rfam family "Eukaryotic large subunit ribosomal RNA", at positions 22 to 645 of the family's 3401-position model. Lineage: Eukaryota; Fungi; Neocallimastigomycota; Neocallimastigomycetes; Neocallimastigales. The record is from RNAcentral.
GUACACGCUGUGACUAGCAUAUCAAUAAGCGGAGGAAAAGAAACUAACAAGGAUUCCCUCAGUAACGGCGAGUGAAGCGGGAAGAGCUCAAAUUUGAAAUCUUAAAGGGUUCCCUUUCACGAAUUGUAGUUUAAAGAAGUGUUUUCUGCUGAGGUUUUGGUAAAAGUUCUUUGGAAUAGGACAUCACUAGAGGGUGAGAAUCCCGUCUAUGACUUGCUACUUUGUAACUUUGUGAUACACUUUCAAAGAGUCGGGAUUGUUUGGGAAUGCAGCCCAAAACGGGAGGUAAAUUUCUUCUAAGGCUAAAUAUUGGCGAGAGACCGAUAGCGAACAAGUACCGUGAGGGAAAGAUGAAAAGAACUUUGAAAAGAGAGUUAAAUAGUACGUGAAAUUGUCAAAAGGGAAGCGUUUAACACCAGUGUUGUUUUCUGAAAAUCAACCUCUGUUAGCUUUAUGCAUGUUUGUUUAGACCUAAUCAGCUAUCUUGCAUGUUCUAUUGUUUGCAGUGGUGCACUUUUCAGUUUACAGGUCAACAUCAGUUUUUUUUACCGUAAAAAAGUUAAAGAAAGGUAGCUCAUGGCUCCGGUCGUGAGUGUUAUAGUCUUUUUCCUAUGCGGUAGGAGAGACUGAGGUCUGCAGUGUAGGCUAUUUGGCUAGAUACUCAGGUGCUAUGUGAUACCAUUUCAUAGACAACUUGUUGAUUAUGUUUUGUCUAUUGCAUACUCGCUUGUACUAUCAUACCUACGCUUAGGAUGUUGACGCAUGAGAUAUACGC